UACGAAAGGUGCAAGCGUUACUCGGAAUCACUGGGCGUAAAGCGCACGUAGGCGGACUCGUAGGUCAAUUGUGAAAUACCUGGGCUCAACCCGGGAACUGCAGUUGAAACCGCUUGUCUUGAAUACCUGAGAGGGUGGGGGAAUACCUGGUGGAGAAGUGAAAUGCAUUGAGAUCGGAAAGAACACCAACGGCGAAAGCACUCUGCUGGGCCGACACUGACACUGAGAGACGGAAGCUAGGGGAGCAAAUGGG
Molecule: ribosomal RNA, 253 nt
Filed under: uncultured bacterium
Lineage: Bacteria
Description: partial 16S ribosomal RNA
Rfam family: Bacterial small subunit ribosomal RNA
Source: RNAcentral